GAAAUGCGAUACUUGGUGUGAAUUGCAGAAUCCCGUGAACCAUCGAGUCUUUGAACGCAAGUUGCGCCCGAAGCCAUUAGGCCGAGGGCACGCCUGCCUGGGUGUCGGGGUCGCUGACCUCCCGCUCGCG
Molecule: unclassified non-coding RNA, 130 nt
Filed under: uncultured fungus
Lineage: Eukaryota; Fungi
Description: sequence contains ITS1
Rfam family: 5.8S ribosomal RNA (bases 1-107)
About the family: 5.8S ribosomal RNA (5.8S rRNA) is a component of the large subunit of the eukaryotic ribosome. It is transcribed by RNA polymerase I as part of the 45S precursor that also contains 18S and 28S rRNA. Functionally, it is thought that 5.8S rRNA may be involved in ribosome translocation.
Source: RNAcentral